AUGGGGAAGACGAAGACUUGCUCCAGCCACAUGCCACUGCCCCGUGCUCGCCUUGCUCCUCGAGCUGGCGGGCUGAUGAUGGAGGACCUGCACUCUUGGCUCCACCGGCGCCGCCGCUACCACUUCUGCUUCUGCUCCCCGCUUGCACACAGCGCAGCGAUUGGAGGAGCAAUGGAGUACUGCAGAGGAACGGAUGCUGCUUCCGUUGGUGCAGCUUGUAUGGCAGUCCCGAAGGAGAUGGCAACUGGAGAAGAGGAGCUUAACGGCGUUCUAAUCGUCGGCGGCGGAAUCUGUGGCCUCGCAACUGCGCUUGCUCUUCACAUGUACUUGCUCCGUUUUAAAAUAGAUGACCCAACUUUAUAUUAA
Molecule: ribosomal RNA, 366 nt
Filed under: Triticum aestivum (bread wheat)
Lineage: Eukaryota; Viridiplantae; Streptophyta; Magnoliopsida; Poales; Poaceae
Description: partial small subunit ribosomal RNA
Source: RNAcentral